Molecule: RNA transcript, 2985 nt
Organism: Malania oleifera
Lineage: Eukaryota; Viridiplantae; Streptophyta; Magnoliopsida; Santalales; Ximeniaceae
Gene name: EID1-like F-box protein 2
Exons: 6
Source: RefSeq, a predicted model, not a curated record
CUUCUUCCAUAUCACAUCCAUGUCCUCCGUCCUCUUCCCUCCCCCUCCAUCUCUGAAUUCGCCAGCACAGCUCUGCUACUACUUUUUCCUGGACGAAACUGCCCUCCCAAAGCACCAAAAUCGCAAGGGAGUCUUUGCAUUUCACCGUAGUCCAGUCCUGGGCUUUUCGGGAAGAUGAAGAAGGGGCGCUCUGUGAACUGAGGUGAGAAACCGUAUCUGGGUUCAUUGGUGUUUUCGAUCUAAUUACAAGAGUCAGCUUCUUGGUUUCAAAUCCAAGUGUCUUGGUUGAUUUUGAUUUGGGCUACAGGGUUCUUCAAAAGCGCCAAGAUAACUGUAUGGUCUUAGGGGUUCAGCCUGAAGAGGUCAUACUUGCUAAAAUGAUCUAGAAGGGUGUUCUGCGCGCGAUCUGUCAGUCGUGGAGUAGCGUUUCUCUAAUGUUUAGGUGGGGACAAUGAUUUUAACAAAGCAGUACCGUUGCAUACACUCAGCGAGCUGCGUAUGUACAAAAGGGCAUCUGAGUGAAGUUGUGAUUUUCCUAGUUUUUCAGCAACUGAACUGGAAUCCUCAGCUAAUUGCUGCACUGUCCUGUGUAUGCAAAUGGUUUGAUGAUCUUGCCAAGAGAGUACUGUGGAAGGAGUUCUGCAGGACAAGAGCCCCAAAGAUGAUGCUUGAUCUGCAGUCUAGUGGGAGCCACAGUGUUGAUGGCAACUGGAGGGCGCUUGGAAAGCUGCUUAUUUACUGUUCUGGAUGUAACAAAGGAGGCUUGUUCAACAGCAUUCAAAUCCCAGGCCAUUUUGUUUAUAGAACCCGGUUCUCUAGGACUUCUGGGAAAAGUUUUCUCCUACCCCAAUGCAGAACAGAUGUUCUAUAUGUGUCUGACCCUUGUGAACAUCUUGACCAAGGGGAAGAGGGGGAUGUGGGAUUCUUCCGCGGAGUUUUCAAGUCAUUUUCAAUGUCGAAGGUUCGGAAGAUGCUGAUCAAGAGGGAGGCUCAGUUCCAUCCAACUGAAGUGUGUCCUUAUUGCAAAGCGAAACUGUGGAGCAUGCUGCAAGCCAAAAUGAUACCUCAAAGUGCAAGCUGCAGGUUGGGUGCAUAUGAGGAUUGCAUCGAGUAUUAUGUGUGCCUUAAUGGGCAUAUGCUUGGGAUCUGCACCCUCUUGCCGUUGUCCGAUUCAGAAGAGGCAUCUGAGUUUGAGUGACAACUUGAAUGGAACCCAGAUUUCUGAUCAUACAAGUACGAAUUUGUAUGGAUCUCCAUGGAAGAACCUGUUCAGUUGAUCCCUUUAGUGGAAGCUGAAAUUUAUUGCCUGGAAUAUCUCCCAAAAUCAGGAGUGUUCUGCUUCUCAGUCUUUACAUGGACGAAUCCUUCCCAGCAGAGGGUUAGGACUUGGGAGUUGGAAGCUGUUUUAACCUUUUCCUUGGUCGUCUUUUACUUGAAGGUUAUUUUGGAACUUGUAAUUCUGUGUACAACUGUGCAUUGUAUGACUGAAUCGUCCGAUAUAUGGAUUUGAAUGGCAUAUUGGUGUCUGCAAUAUUUACUCCUUUUUUAUAAUUAAUCAAUUGAAUUACUUGUCUCCUUGAAUCUCUCUAGUGAUGUUGACAAAUCAACUUAAACCAUUAUUGCUUUUGUGAUCUUGGUGGCUUUUAAGCCGUUUCUGUUUCUACUUUUUCUGCAGUUUGGCCCAUCAGUUUACUUUUUCUCUUUCACAAAAUCCUUAUCCCUGUCCCUCACCUUCACCCCCAUCCACCACUCUCAAAAAAGGGAAGAGGUAAAUAAAGAGAAGGAAGAAAAUGGGAGUAGGAAGAAAUGGGAGAAGGAAGCAUUAGUGGCAGCUGUGGCGGUGGGUGAAGCUGGGAAGCAGUCUUUGGUUGCUAACAACGGGCUGUAUAACCCUAAUCCUGUUUCUCCAUCCUAGCAUGGAAAUAAUUAUUUUCCUAUUUUUGGCAGGUGACAGGUUGUUUUCUUUGUAGCACCUACUGAACGGAGCAGGGUUAUUUUGAGAUGAAAUGAGCAUUAAUGCCUGGCCAAAGAACAUUGAUAUCAUUGCAGCAGCAUAUCUUUCACAAGAAUUUUAGAUGAACAUUGAUGCCCGAAGUCUCUGAGUGCGCUCAUACAAGAGGAUGCUUAGCAUUGGCCAGGCUAAGGAGGAAGCUUAAUGAUCCCAUCAACAUCAACAUGCAUAGGAAACACUGUUCGGAGUUUGGACUGUGCUGAGCUCAUCAGACCUUCUGACUUCUUGGAGUACAACAAUAAUUGCCAACACAAUCCAAUACCACUUUGCUUUGCCCCACUGCAGCUUCUGCAAAAGGGUAGCAAAGAAAAAGUGAGGCAGCUCUAGGCCUUGUUUCUAGACAACUUCACUCAUUAUUGAAUAAUUAAAUUUUUAGGGUACCUAUGGUUUCUGAGUUUUAGGUAAGUUGUCAUUUCAAAGACGCAAAGAGAGCUACUUUAUGUGACAUUAUGCUAAAUUAUAGGACGAAAAUCUAGAGUUUUUCUCAUUUUAUUAUAAAAAAUAAAUAAAAUAUAAAAUAAUACUCUGAAUAGGAAAAAUUUUUCCAAACUAAUGCUUACGUAAUCUCGCAAUUUCAUGCUGCGAGAUUUAAACUGAUGGCCGCUCUGCCUUCGACGCGUGGCAAGGAGAGAAACAGCUGGCAGGUGACGCGUGGCGAUGCUUGAGGAAAUCUUGCAGCUCCAAGCUGCGAGAAUUAAUGAGGCAUCGAACUGAAACGUGACGCGUGGCUGCGAGAGUUAAUGAGGCAUUUGGUUAAUGGAUUUUAUUGCAAAAUUCGUAUCUCUAAAAUUUGUAUGGUAUUUGGUUAAUGGAUUUUAUUUUUCGCGGUAUAUUUAGUGUCGUGGGUAGUCAAAGUAAGAUUAUUUGUGUAUUAAAAAAAAAUAGCUUGCAUUUAACUGUGCAUGGAAACUAGUGUCAUAGGUGUUUAAGAUUAUUUAUUGUAUCGAGUUUUAAUAAAUCACUUUUUAAUAAAA